RNAcentral lists this ribosomal RNA (497 nucleotides) under uncultured bacterium. RNAcentral describes it as "partial 16S ribosomal RNA". It matches the Rfam family "Bacterial small subunit ribosomal RNA", at positions 28 to 507 of the family's 1533-position model. The record is from RNAcentral.
GAUGAACGCUGGCGGCGUGCCUAAUACAUGCAAGUCGAGCGAACGGACGAGAAGCUUGCUUCUCUGAUGUUAGCGGCGGACGGGUGAGUAACACGUGGAUAACCUACCUAUAAGACUGGGAUAACUUCGGGAAACCGGAGCUAAUACCGGAUAAUAUUUUGAACCGCAUGGUUCAAAAGUGAAAGACGGUCUUGCUGUCACUUAUAGAUGGAUCCGCGCUGCAUUAGCUAGUUGGUAAGGUAACGGCUUACCAAGGCAACGAUGCAUAGCCGACCUGAGAGGGUGAUCGGCCACACUGGAACUGAGACACGGUCCAGGCUCCUACGGGAGGCAGCAGUAGGGAAUCUUCCGCAAUGGGCGGAAGCCUGACGGAGCAACGCCGCGUGAGUGAUUAAGGUCUUCGGAUCGUAAAACUCUGUUAUUAGGGAAGAACAUAUGUGUAAGUAACUGUGCACAUCUUGACGGUACCUAAUCAGAAAGCCACGGCUAACUACGUG